CGGGGUGCAGCAGGCGCGAAAACUUUACAAUGCGGGAAACCGUGAUAAGGGGACACCGAGUGCCAGCAUCAUAUGCUGGCUGUCCAGGUGUGUAAAAUACACCUGUUAGCAAGGGCCGGGCAAGACCGGUGCCAGCCGCCGCGGUAACACCGGCGGCCCGAGUGGUGAUCGUGAUUAUUGGGUCUAAAGGGUCCGUAGCCGGUUUGGUCAGUCCUCCGGGAAAUCUGAUAGCUUAACUAUUAGGCUUUCGGAGGAUACUGCCAGACUUGGAACCGGGAGAGGUAAGAGGUACUACAGGGGUAGGAGUGAAAUCUUGUAAUCCCUGUGGGACCACCUGUGGCGAAGGCGUCUUACCAGAACGGGUUCGACGGUGAGGGACGAAAGCUGGGGGCACGAACCGGAUUAGAUACCCGGGUAGUCCCAGCCGUAAACGAUGCUCGCUAGGUGUCAGGCAUGGCGCGACCGUGUCUGGUGCCGCAGGGAAGCCGUGAAGCGAGCCACCUGGGAAGUACGGCCGCAAGGCUGAAACUUAAAGGAAUUGGCGGGGGAGCACAAGGGCGAUUCGCG
This 567-nucleotide ribosomal RNA is filed under the name uncultured archaeon. Its description in RNAcentral is "bacterial SSU rRNA". It matches the Rfam family "Archaeal small subunit ribosomal RNA", at positions 326 to 897 of the family's 1478-position model. The record is from RNAcentral.